RNAcentral lists this ribosomal RNA (465 nucleotides) under uncultured bacterium. Its description in RNAcentral is "bacterial SSU rRNA". It matches the Rfam family "Bacterial small subunit ribosomal RNA", at positions 29 to 506 of the family's 1533-position model. The record is from RNAcentral.
ACGAACGCUGGCGGCGUGCUUAACACAUGCAAGUCGAACGAUGAAGCCCAGCUUGCUGGGUGGAAGAGUGGCGAACGGGUGAGUAACACGUGAGUAACCUGCCUAUCACUCUGGGAUAAGCGCUGGAAACGGCGUCUAAUACUGGAUAUGUCCCAUCACCGCAUGGUGUGUGGGUGGAAAGAUUUAUCGGUGGUAGAUGGACUCGCGGCCUAUCAGCUUGUUGGUGAGGUAAUGGCUCACCAAGGCGACGACGGGUAGCCGGCCUGAGAGGGUGACCGGCCACACUGGGACUGAGACACGGCCCAGACUCCUACGGGAGGCAGCAGUGGGGAAUAUUGCACAAUGGGCGCAAGCCUGAUGCAGCAACGCCGCGUGAGGGAUGACGGCCUUCGGGUUGUAAACCUCUUUUAGUAGGGAAGAAGCGCAAGUGACGGUACCUGCAGAAAAAGCACCGGCUAACUACGU